RNAcentral lists this long non-coding RNA (1091 nucleotides) under Neogobius melanostomus (round goby). Its description in RNAcentral is "lncRNA (ENSNMLG00000010638.1)". The record is from RNAcentral. Lineage: Eukaryota; Metazoa; Chordata; Actinopteri; Gobiiformes; Gobiidae.
ACUUGCUUGACUUUGCAGAGAGUAAAGAUGUUUACAAGAGGAAAGUCCUAUCCAUCACCUCCAUCACCAUGACGAUCAGCCUGCUGGGGAUAAUCUGCAUGGCCUUGUAUUACCGCAACAAGCAAGACCGAGAGAAGCUCCAGGCCCACUUGAAGGAAAACCGCUCUGUGAAGAACUACAACUCUCAUAAUUCACUGAGGAACGAGAGCCGGAUGCCCAACAGCAAUUUGCAGAUGCAUCAGUAUUGUAAGAGGCAAUUCCAGUAUCGUGAGACCCCGUCCAGUCACUGCACUUCCUGUCACUCGCCCUGCAACACAUCCUGCUUCAGCAGUGGGACAGCCAAGCAGCUUAGAAAGGGCUGCUCAUCCCAAAGUUCAAGUCAUAAGGCUCAACACUGGUCAAUGUUAUGCACUUCUCCAUCCACACCUAAAAGAAGACUUAAUCAGAUGGGAGGAUCAAAGUCAGGUCCUGCCUACCAUCACCUCCAGGAAGUGGAUUCAUCAAAAAAGGACACAGAAGCAAAACAAAGGUUCCAGACCAAGAGGGAGUGCCACUUUAGCGAUCUUCGACAGGACACUCUCCUCCACAUAAGGCCCUCUGUUCAGAUGGAAUCAACGCUCGGUUUACAUCCACAGAGAAACACCAACAACUGCAGCUUUCGCCAAACCAUUCAGGAUCAACACACAUUUUUAUCGUCCUCAAUUCCCAUCAUCCCGUCUGUGCUUUGUCAUUACGACGACGAAGUGUCCUGUAUGCAAACGAUGCCAACUACAUCCAAUAUCAUGAACAUGAGAGCAAAGUCUGUGUCUAAACCCUGCUCACCUGUGCUGGGGGAACAACAGGUGGAAGCAACAUUACUAUUGGAAGAGGCCCAGGAGCACCUCAGGGCGCUGGCUCACUGUAAACAUGGGGAGAGUGCUGCCAUUUCGGUGCCCAGAGAGACUGUGUGCUUCCUCAGUCCAACCGCGUGUCCGCUCACACAUGUCCAGAUACUUAGCCAAUCAAACAGAGACCUGGCUACCAGCAACCAAUGAGAGUCAAGGACAUACUAUUUCAGUUGGGACAUUCGUAAUGACGGGUGCAACAUGACG